AUACGGAGGAUGCAAGCGUUAUCCGGAUUUAUUGGGUUUAAAGGGUGCGCAGGCUGACCGGUAAGUCAGGGGUGAAACUUUACAGCUUAACUGCAAACGUGCCUUUGAUACUGCCGGACUAGAGUUUAAGAGACGUAAUUGGAAUGUGAUGUGUAGCGGUGAAAUGCUUAGAUAUGUCACAGAACGCCGAUCGUGAAGACAGAUUACGAACUUAAUACUGACGCUCAUGCACGAAAGCGUGGGGAUC
RNAcentral lists this ribosomal RNA (247 nucleotides) under uncultured bacterium. Its description in RNAcentral is "partial 16S ribosomal RNA". It matches the Rfam family "Bacterial small subunit ribosomal RNA", at positions 523 to 769 of the family's 1533-position model. The record is from RNAcentral.